This 668-nucleotide ribosomal RNA is filed under the name Lactobacillus gasseri. RNAcentral's name for it is "bacterial SSU rRNA". It matches the Rfam family "Bacterial small subunit ribosomal RNA", at positions 61 to 689 of the family's 1533-position model. The record is from RNAcentral. Lineage: Bacteria; Bacillati; Bacillota; Bacilli; Lactobacillales; Lactobacillaceae.
GUCGAGCGAGCUUGCCUAGAUGAAUUUGGUGCUUGCACCAAAUGAAACUAGAUACAAGCGAGCGGCGGACGGGUGAGUAACACGUGGGUAACCUGCCCAAGAGACUGGGAUAACACCUGGAAACAGAUGCUAAUACCGGAUAACAACACUAGACGCAUGUCUAGAGUUUAAAAGAUGGUUCUGCUAUCACUCUUGGAUGGACCUGCGGUGCAUUAGCUAGUUGGUAAGGUAACGGCUUACCAAGGCAAUGAUGCAUAGCCGAGUUGAGAGACUGAUCGGCCACAUUGGGACUGAGACACGGCCCAAACUCCUACGGGAGGCAGCAGUAGGGAAUCUUCCACAAUGGACGCAAGUCUGAUGGAGCAACGCCGCGUGAGUGAAGAAGGGUUUCGGCUCGUAAAGCUCUGUUGGUAGUGAAGAAAGAUAGAGGUAGUAACUGGCCUUUAUUUGACGGUAAUUACUUAGAAAGUCACGGCUAACUACGUGCCAGCAGCCGCGGUAAUACGUAGGUGGCAAGCGUUGUCCGGAUUUAUUGGGCGUAAAGCGAGUGCAGGCGGUUCAAUAAGUCUGAUGUGAAAGCCUUCGGCUCAACCGGAGAAUUGCAUCAGAAACUGUUGAACUUGAGUGCAGAAGAGGAGAGUGGAACUCCAUGUGUAGCGGUGGAAUGC